This is a long non-coding RNA of Prosopis cineraria, 692 nucleotides long. RefSeq lists it as uncharacterized. The record is from RefSeq and is a predicted model, not a curated record. The transcript is spliced from 2 exons. NCBI's taxonomy places the organism in Eukaryota, Viridiplantae, Streptophyta, Magnoliopsida, Fabales, Fabaceae.
UUCCCCUGAUCGUGAGUGAGUUGCGGCAGAGAGAGAAAGAGUGAAACCCUUGUGUGUUUCUUGUUCAUCGCCGGCACCUUGUCUGCCUUCUUUCUUGUUCAUCAUCGUCGACGACCUUGAGAGUGGUGGAGUUGCUUUAUUCAAUCCUUCCCGAGCAGCGGAGGGGUGUGCGUCUAUUUGCUCUGCUUUUCUAUUCUCUGCUUUGCAACGUCUCCUUCAUUCUUGUUCCUCUGUUUAUUGCCUUUGCCGGUGUCGUGGGUGUGUCAAAAAUCUUCUCUUCUCUUCUUUGCCGUCGUCGACCUUGUUUCGUCUCUUCCCCUUUUUCGUGUUUGACAUUCGACUCUUCUCUCUCUUUCUUUAUCCCUGUUCUGGUAUAGGGAGCUUCUUCCCUUCUUGUUUAAAUUUUUAGCCUGUGAUUUGGGUGAUAGAAUUUGUGAUGCUGAUAAUAUACUGCUGGCCAUGCACCUUCAGUUGAACAUUGUGGGUUUAUCACAAAUUGGAAGUUGAAGCGCUAUUAUGGUUAUUCCUUAUUUGUUGCAAAAUGUAAAUUUAUUUAUUAUAUUUUGUAAAUUAAGUUCUUGAGUCUUCAUGUAGACCAUAUGCAGGAUUCCUUACCUUAUCAGGUGGUGUCAUAGGACUGUUGAUAUGGAGCAAGGCUCCUCUUUGAUUAAAUGAGUUGACCUUGUUGUAUA